ACUAGCAACUUCGCAAGUCGAUUUCAACCCUUUCAUCAUCUUCCCAUCUUCUUCUUCUUCCAUGGAGCAACCAGUCACUACUGAUCAAAGACACAUCAGGUAGGCGGCGGCGGCGCCGACAACGGCCGGCAAUGGAGGUAGAUAGCGAGAGAGAGACCCCCCUCUCAUGGUCAUCAUCUUUAUCUUCUUCCUCAGGAAGAUGCCUUCUCAUACUUGAGCGGCUUGACAACCUCCCAU
This 237-nucleotide long non-coding RNA is filed under the name Oryza sativa (Asian cultivated rice). RNAcentral's name for it is "long non-coding RNA (OSAT_LNC000360)". The record is from RNAcentral. Lineage: Eukaryota; Viridiplantae; Streptophyta; Magnoliopsida; Poales; Poaceae.